UAGGUGUUCUGUGUGUGUAAUGCCAGGGGGUAGUGGAUGCCAUAGGUGUUCUGUGUGUGUAAUGCUGUGGCAGUGGAUGCCAUAGGUGUUCUGUGUGUGUAAUGCCAGGGGGCAGUGGAUGCCAUAGGUGUUCUGUGUGUGUAAUGCCAGGGGGUAGUGGAUGCCAUAGGUGUUCUGUGUGUGUAAUGCUGUGGCAGUGGAUGCCAUAGGUGUUCUGUGUGUGUAAUGCCAGGGGGUAGUGGAUGCCAUAGGUGUUCUGUGUGUGUAAUGCCAGGGGGUAGUGGAUGCCAUAGGUGUUCUGUGUGUGUAAUGCCAGGGGGCAGUGGAUGCCAUAGGUGUUCUGUGUGUGUAAUGCCAGGGGGCAGUGGAUGCCAUAGGUGUUCUGUGUGUGUAAUGCCAGGGGGCAGUGGAUGCCAUAGGUGUUCUGUGUGUGUAAUGCCAGGGGGCAGUGGAUGCCAUAGGUGUUCUGUGUGUGUAAUGCCAGGGGGCAGUGGAUGCCAUAGGUGUUCUGUGUGUGUAAUGCCAGGGGGCAGUGGAUGCCAUAGGUGUUCUGUGUGUGUAAUGCCAGGGGGCAGUGGAUGCCAUAGGUGUUCUGUGUGUGUAAUGCCAGGGGGCAGUGGAUGCCAUAGGUGUUCUGUGUGUGUAAUGCCAGGGGGUAGUGGAUGCCAUAGGUGUUCUGUGUGUGUAAUGCCAGGGGGCAGUGGAUGCCAUAGGUGUUCUGUGUGUGUAAUGCCAGGGGGUAGUGGAUGCCAUAGGUGUUCUGUGUGUGUAAUGCCAGGGGGUAGUGGAUGCCAUAGGUGUUCUGUGUGUGUAAUGCCAGGGGGCAGUGGAUGCCAUAGGUGUUCUGUGUGUGUAAUGGCAGGGUGUGUAGUGUCACUUUAGGGACGACAUGUCAGUUUGGAGACAAUGUCACCCCUAAAGUUCCAGCCUUUACCCUCCAUGUAAGGCACUGGGCCGUUGUGGGCACACAUGCAUGGAUGGAUAUGUUUCUGAGGGGAUAGAUAGCCUAUAGAUAGAUAUUCCUUACGUCUCUUCAGGGGGAAAGUCGUUAACACUGACAAGUCCACUCCGAGACGACCCUGGAGUCGACACCAUGCAAAGUUGGUGACAAAUCUCUUUCUCCUAUCACUUCG
Molecule: long non-coding RNA, 1133 nt
Organism: Oncorhynchus masou masou (cherry salmon)
Lineage: Eukaryota; Metazoa; Chordata; Actinopteri; Salmoniformes; Salmonidae
Exons: 4
Source: RefSeq, a predicted model, not a curated record